RNAcentral lists this ribosomal RNA (421 nucleotides) under uncultured archaeon. RNAcentral's name for it is "bacterial SSU rRNA". It matches the Rfam family "Archaeal small subunit ribosomal RNA", at positions 327 to 747 of the family's 1478-position model. The record is from RNAcentral.
GGGGCGCAGCAGGCGCGAAACCUUUACACUGCACGACAGUGCGAUAAGGGGACCCCGAGUGCGUAGGCAUAGAGCCUACGCUUUUGUACACCGUAGGGAGGUGUACGAAUAAGAGCUGGGCAAGACCGGUGCCAGCCGCCGCGGUAAUACCGGCAGCUCGAGUGAUGGCCGAUCUUAUUGGGCCUAAAGCGUCCGUAGCUGGCUUUUCAAGUCCGUCGGGAAAUCUCCCCGCUCAACGGGGAGGCGUCCGGCGGAAACUGAAGAGCUUGGGACCGGAAGGCGUGACGGGUACGUCCGGGGUAGGAGUGAAAUCCUGUAAUCCUGGACGGACCGCCGAUGGGGAAACCACGUCACGAGGACGGAUCCGACAGUGAGGGACGAAAGCUAGGAUCUCGAACCGGAUUAGAUACCCGUGUAGUCC